GAUCCUGGUGAUGAUCAACGACAUGAUCAGCCGAUCCCCGUGUGGGAAUGAGGACAUGUCCUGCAAUUCUGAAGGGAUU
Molecule: small nucleolar RNA, 79 nt
Organism: Sorex fumeus (smoky shrew)
Lineage: Eukaryota; Metazoa; Chordata; Mammalia; Eulipotyphla; Soricidae
Product: small nucleolar RNA SNORD96 family
Exons: 1
Source: RefSeq, a predicted model, not a curated record